Molecule: transfer RNA, 71 nt
Filed under: Sphaerodactylus townsendi
Lineage: Eukaryota; Metazoa; Chordata; Lepidosauria; Squamata; Sphaerodactylidae
Description: tRNA-Ala
Rfam family: tRNA
About the family: Transfer RNA (tRNA) molecules are approximately 80 nucleotides in length. Their secondary structure includes four short double-helical elements and three loops (D, anti-codon, and T loops). Further hydrogen bonds mediate the characteristic L-shaped molecular structure. tRNAs have two regions of fundamental functional importance: the anti-codon, which is responsible for specific mRNA codon recognition, and the 3' end, to which the tRNAs corresponding amino acid is attached (by aminoacyl-tRNA synthetases). tRNAs cope with the degeneracy of the genetic code in two manners: having more than one tRNA (with a specific anti-codon) for a particular amino acid; and 'wobble' base-pairing, i.e. permitting non-standard base-pairing at the 3rd anti-codon position.
Source: RNAcentral
GGGGCUGUGCUCAGAGGUAAAGCAUCUGCUUUGCAUGUAGAAGGUCCCAGGUUCAAUCCCUGGCAUCUCCA